CUCACGCCUGUAAUUCCAACACUUCGGGAGGCCGAGGUAGGAGGAUUGUUUAAGGCCAGGAGUUUGAGAAUAGCCUGGACAACAUAGCAAGACCCCAUCUCUACACAUUUUUUUUUGUUCAGAGAUGGAGUCUCAGUCUUGUUGCCCAGGCUGGAGUGCAGUGGUGUGAUCUCGGCUCACUGCAACCUCCGCCUCCUGGGUUCAAGCAAUUCUGCCUCAGCCUCCCCAGUAGCUGGGAUUACAGGCGCCCACCAUCAUGCCUGGCUAAUUUUUGUAUUUUUAGUAGAGACAGAAUCUCACCAGUUUGGCCAGGCUGGUCUCAAACUCCUAACCUCAGGUGAUCCACCUGCCGUAUCUCUUUUGUUUUUAAUUAGCUGGGCAUGGUGGUAUGCACCUGAAGUCCCAGCUACUUGGGAGGCUGAGGUGGGAGGAUUGCUUGAGCCCAGGAGUUCGAGGCUGCAGUGAGCCGUGAUCACACCACCGCACUCCAGCCUGGGUGACAGAGAGAGACCCUAUGUCAAAACAACGCAUUGAGUGCUUGGAGUUCUCUGCAUUCUUGGCAGCACCUCAAAUCUGUGCUAGCACCUCAAAUCUGUGCUAGAGAAGACCUGUAGCCCUAACUUCUGAAGAACUUUUUCUUUUUGCUUCUCUUAGCACCAAGUGUCUUUCGUGUGGAGGGAGCAGGGCUAAUUCCGUUUCAUUCUUACCCUAAGAGUGUAGACCUUUAGGUUUUCAGCUUAAGGUGGGAAGGGUUUUCUAUAAUGCUCCCCAUUUUGGGCAGGACUGGCCCUUGACUUCUGUCCCCCUGACCCCUCAAGGCCACAGAAUGAGAACCCAAGUUUGCUGGUUUUGGCAAAUGCCCUCCAACAAAAGGGCACCUCCCGGGUGGCACAGCCGUGGGCUGGUGCGCCCCACCAGGGUGCAGCAGUGACAUCAGCCCCGCCUCGGGGCACAUGUCCCUUCCUGGUGACAGCAGGCUAGGUGCCUGGACCAGCCGUUUCCCUGAAGACGAUGAAACACGCUGGGUGAAAUAUCCAAAGGCCAGGAACACUGAACAGCUGACAAGAUAGCAGGUAAUUAAAUGCCAGGCCUCGUGCUGGAGGAAAACUGGACUCAGAUACAAGGCCCUCCCACAGGGAUCUGGAGAGCCUGGCUCUCAGCUCUGGCCUGGGGGAACUCAGAGAGGGAGGGGCUCUGCGGAUCAGCUGCCCCUAGGCAGUAACACUGAACCGCAGUACCCAGUGAAAAGAGACUGCAGGGCCCAGCGUGGUGGCUCACGCCUGUAAUCUCAGCACUUUGGGAGGCCGAGGUGGGCGGAUCUCUCGAGCUCAGGAGUUCAAGACCAGCCUGGCUAACACGGUGAGACCCCGUCCACUAAAAAUACAAAAAUUAGCUAGGCAUGGUGGUGGGCACCUGUAAUCACAGCUACUCAGGAGGCUGAGGCAGGAGAAUCACUUGAAUCCGGGAGGCAAAGGUUGCAGUGAGCCAAAAUCACACCACUGCACUCUAUCCUGGGCAACAGAGUGAGACUCUGUCUCAAAAAAAAAAAAAAAGGAGCGAGCCGGGGCGCAGUGGCUCACGCCUGUAAUCCCAGCAUUUUGAGAGGCCGAGGCGGGUGGAUCACUUGAGGUCAGGAGUUCAGGACCAGCCUGGCCAACAUGGUGAGACCUUGUCUACUAAAAAUACAAAAAUUAGCUGGGCAUGGUGGCAGGUGCCUGUCAUCCCAGCUACUCAGGAGGCUGAGGUAGGAGAAUCGCUUGAACCCGGGAGGCAGAGGUUGCAGUGAGCCAAGAUUGUGCCACUGCACUCCAGCCUGGGUGACAGAAUGAGACUCUGUCUCAAAAAACAAACAAACAGAGACUAGAAACUCACACCAAUCAUUACCUCGUAAGUGCAGUUAGCUCAGGAAGUACAAUAUUUCCAAAAAGGGGAGAGGUUGCAAUUAGCCAAGACUGUGCCAUUGCACUCCAGCCUGGGCAACAAGAACGAAACUCCGAGGAAAACCUCUGACACACAGCCUCUCCCUCUCCCUCUCCCUCUCCCUCUCCCUCCCCCUCCCCCUCCCCCUCCCCCUCUCCCUCUCCCUCUCCGUCUCCCUCUCUCUCCACGGUCUCCUUCCACGGUCUCCCUCUGAUGCCAAGCCAAAGCUGGACGGUACUGCUGCCAUCUCGGCUCACUGCAACCUCCCUGCCUGAUUCUCCUGCCUCAGCCUGCCGAGUGCCUGUGAUUGCAGGCGCGCGCCGCCACGCCUGACUGGUUUUCGUUUUUUUUUUUGGUGGAGACGGGGUUUUGCUGUGUUGGCCGGGCUGGUCUCCAGCUCCUAACCGCGAGUGAUCCGCCAGCCUCGGCCUCCCGAGGUGCUGGGAUUGCAGACGGAGUCUCGUUCACUCAGUGCUCAAUGGUGCCCAGGCUGGAGUGCAGCGGCGUGAUCUCGGCUCGCUACAACCUCCACCUCCCAGCUGCCCGCCUUGGCCCCCCAAAGUGCCAAGAUUGCAGCCUCUGCCCAGCCGCCACCCCAUGUGGGAAGUGAGGAGCGUCUCUGCCUGGCCCCCCAUCGUCUGGGAUAUGAGGAGCCUCUCUGCCUGGCUGCCCAGUCUGGAAAGUGAGGAGCGUCUCUGCCCGGCCGCCAUCCCAUCUAGGAAGUGAGGAGCGCCUCUUCCCGGCCGCCAUCCCAUCUAGGAAGCGAGGAGCGCCUCUUCCCCGCCGCCCAUCGUCUGAGAUGUGGGGAGCGCCUCUGCCCCGCCGCCCUGUCUGGGAUGUGAGGAGCGCCUCUGCUGGGCCGCAACCCUGUCUGGGAGGUGAGGAGCGUCUCUGCCCGGCCGCCCCGUCUGAGAAGUGAGGAAACCCUCUGCCUGGCAACCGCCCCGUCUGAGAAGUGAGGAGCCCCUCCGCCCGGCAGCUGCCCCGUCUGGGAAGUGAGGAGCGUCUCCGCCCGGCAGCCGCCCCGUCCGGGAGGGAGGUGGGGGGGGGUCAGCCCCCCGCCGGGCCAGCCGCCCCGUCCGGGAGGUGAGGGGCUCCUCUGCCCGGCCGCCCCUACUGGGAAGUGAGGAGCCCUCUGCCCGGCCAGCCGCCCCGUCCGGGAGGGAGGUGGGGGGUCAGCCCCCCGCCCAGCCAGCCGCCCCGUCCGGGAGGGAGGUGGGGGGAUCAGCCCCCCGCCUGGCCAGCCGCCCCAUCCGGGAGGUGAGGGGCGCCUCUGCCCGGCCGCCCCUACUGGGAAGUGAGGAGCCCCUCUGCCCGGCCAGCCGCCCCGUCCGGGAGGUGAGGGGUGCUUCUGCCCGGCCGCCCCUACUGGGAAGUGAGGAGCCCCUCUGCCCGGCCACGACCCCGUCUGGGAGGUGUGCCCAGCGGCUCAUUGGGGAUGGGCCAUGAUGACAAUGGCGGUUUUGUGGAAUAGAAAGGCGGGAAGGGUGGGGAAAAAAUUGAGAAAUCGGAUGGUUGCCGGGUCUGUGUGGAUAGAAGUAGACAUGGGAGACUUUUCAUUUUGUUCUGUACUAAGAAAAAUUCUUCUGCCUUGGGAUCCUGUUGAUCUGUCACCUUAUCCCCAACCCCGUGCUCUCUGAAACAUGUGCUGUGUCCACUCAGGGUUAAAUGGAUUAAGGGCGGUGCAAGAUGUGCUUUGUUAAACAGAUGCUUGAAGGCAGCAUGCUCGUUAAGAGUCAUCACCACUCCCUAAUCUCAAGUACCCAGGGACACAAACACUGCGGAAGGCCGCAGGGACCUCUGCCUAGGAAAACCAGAGACCUUUGUUCACUUGUUUAUCUGCUGACCUUCCCUCCACUAUUGUCCUGUGACCCUGCCAAAUCCCCCUCUGCGAGAAACACCCAAGAAUGAUCAAUAAAAAAAAAAAAAAUAAAAAAAAAAA
This 3862-nucleotide long non-coding RNA is filed under the name Homo sapiens (human). Its description in RNAcentral is "HSALNT0338984". Lineage: Eukaryota; Metazoa; Chordata; Mammalia; Primates; Hominidae. The record is from RNAcentral.